AGGACGAACGCUGGCGGCGUGCUUAACACAUGCAAGUCGAGCGGAAAGGCCCUUCGGGGUACUCGAGCGGCGAACGGGUGAGUAACACGUGAGUAACCUGCCCUUGGCUCUGGGAUAGCUCCGGGAAACCGGAAUUAAUACCGGAUAUGACUGCUGCUGACAUCGGUGGUGGUGGAAAGAUUUAUCGGCCAGGGAUGGGCUCGCGGCCUAUCAGCUUGUUGGUGGGUAAUGGCCUACCAAGCGACGACGGGUA
This 253-nucleotide ribosomal RNA is filed under the name uncultured bacterium. Its description in RNAcentral is "partial small subunit ribosomal RNA". It matches the Rfam family "Bacterial small subunit ribosomal RNA", at positions 26 to 285 of the family's 1533-position model. The record is from RNAcentral.